RNAcentral lists this ribosomal RNA (497 nucleotides) under uncultured bacterium. RNAcentral describes it as "partial 16S ribosomal RNA". It matches the Rfam family "Bacterial small subunit ribosomal RNA", at positions 28 to 507 of the family's 1533-position model. The record is from RNAcentral.
GAUGAACGCUGGCGGCGUGCCUAAUACAUGCAAGUCAAGCGAACGGACGAGAAGCUUGCUUUUCUGAUGUUAGCGGCGGACGGGUGAGUAACACGUGGAUAACCUACCUAUAAGACUGGGAUAACUUCGGGAAACCGGAGCUAAUACCGGAUAAUAUUUUGAACCGCAUGGUUCAAAAGUGAAAGACGGUCUUGCUGUCACUUAUAGAUGGAUCCGCGCUGCAUUAGCUAGUUGGUAAGGUAACGGCUUACCAAGGCAACGAUGCAUAGCCGACCUGAGAGGGUGAUCGGCCACACUGGAACUGAGACACGGUCCAGACUCCUACGGGAGGCAGCAGUAGGGAAUCUUCCGCAAUGGGCGAGAGCCUGACGGAGCAACGCCGCGUGAGUGAUGAAGGUCUUCGGAUCGUAAAACUCUGUUAUUAGGGAAGAACAUAUGUGUAAGUAACUGUGCACAUCUUGACGGUACCUAAUCAGAAAGCCACGGCUAACUACGUG